This 241-nucleotide unclassified non-coding RNA is filed under the name plant metagenome. Its description in RNAcentral is "partial contains small subunit ribosomal RNA, internal transcribed spacer 1, and 5.8S ribosomal RNA". The record is from RNAcentral.
UCUCCGUUGGUGAACCAGCGGAGGGAUCAUUACCGAGUUUUCUACUCCCAAACCCCUGUGAACUUAUACCUUUACCGUUGCUUCGGCGGGUUAACGCCCCGGAAAGGCCCCCGAAAGGGAGCCGCCCCGGAACCAGGCGCCCGCCGGGGGACCCAAACUCUUGUACUUUCUUACCUAGCAUGUCUGAGUGGAAUCAUAAACAAAUCAAUCAAAACUUUCAACAACGGAUCUCUUGGUUCUG